This 700-nucleotide ribosomal RNA is filed under the name Oenococcus oeni. Its description in RNAcentral is "bacterial LSU rRNA". It matches the Rfam family "Bacterial large subunit ribosomal RNA", at positions 1119 to 1845 of the family's 2925-position model. The record is from RNAcentral. Lineage: Bacteria; Bacillati; Bacillota; Bacilli; Lactobacillales; Lactobacillaceae.
CCCUUUAAAGAGUGCGUAAUAGCUCACUAGUCGAGUGCUCUUGCGCGGAUAAUGUACCGGGGCUAAGCAUAUUACCGAAACUGUGGAUGCGUAAGCAUGGUAGGAUAGCGUAAUUAACGCGAUGAAGGAUGACCGUAAGGACAUGUUGGAGCGUUAACUAGUGAGAAUUCCGGUAUGAGUAGCGAAAGAUAGGUGAGAAUCCUAUCCACCGAAUGAGUAAGGUUUCCCCCGGAAGGCUCGUCCGCGGGGGGUUAGUCGGGACCUAAGGCGAGGCUGAAAAGCGUAGUCGAUGGACAACAGGUUGAUAUUCCUGUACCGAUAUUUAAUUGCCGAAGGAAGGACGCAGAAGGAUAACACAGGCCACUAUUGGAUGUGGUUUUAAACAGUUAGUCUUCAUAAGAGUCAAAUGCUUUUAUGUUUAAGGAUAAGCUGUGAAUGUACCAAGUUUACUUGGAAAUUGUGUGAUUUCACGCUGCUGAAAAAAGUUUCGUAGGAAGAAAAUAUUGCCCGUACCGCAAACCGACACAGGUACUCGAGUGGAGAACACUAAGGUGAGCGAGUGAACUAUUGUUAAGGAACUCUGCAAAAUGAGUCCGUAACUUCGGAAGAAGGACUGCUGGUUUUAUACCAGCCGCAGCAAAUAGGCCCAAACAACUGUUUAUCAAAAACACAGGUUUCUGCAAAAUCGUAAGAUGAAGUA